GGCUGGUCCGAGUGCCGUGGUGUUUACAAUUAAUUGACUACAGCCAGUUACAGAUUUCUUUGUUCCUUCUCCACUCCCACUGCACUGAUUGAUGCAAAA
RNAcentral lists this Y RNA (99 nucleotides) under Vicugna pacos (alpaca). RNAcentral's name for it is "Y RNA (ENSVPAG00000015929.1)". It matches the Rfam family "Y RNA". Rfam says of the family: Y RNAs are components of the Ro ribonucleoprotein particle (Ro RNP), in association with Ro60 and La proteins. Lineage: Eukaryota; Metazoa; Chordata; Mammalia; Artiodactyla; Camelidae. The record is from Rfam by way of RNAcentral.